Long non-coding RNA from Oncorhynchus keta (chum salmon), 703 nucleotides. RefSeq lists it as uncharacterized. The record is from RefSeq and is a predicted model, not a curated record. Lineage: Eukaryota; Metazoa; Chordata; Actinopteri; Salmoniformes; Salmonidae. The transcript is spliced from 3 exons.
GGGAAAGUUGAAUAGAUUGACAGAGAAACAACAGAAUAAUAGAGAGACUAAAGUGUGAAAAGCCAGAGAGACAAUUGAUUGAACAGCCUGUAAUGACUGACCGAGAGAGCGAGAGGGCGACAGAGACCAGUUCGAGGGUGGUUGGAUAUCAGAGAACAGCUUGAAAAAAAAUGAAAAAGCAAAGGAAGUUGGGGGGAAAUGGAGAGACAAAGAAAGAGGUGUGUUCUGUGUUAUCAGCCAGCCCUGGCUCCGUGGACCCCGAGCCAGACCGACGCUCCUGCGGUGGACAAGUGGUUUAGGCAUGCAGAAGAGGUCUGGAACGAUGCCCACGUGACGCUCCAGCGUGCCUUCCACCACCAGAAGGAGCAGGUGGAUCGUCACCGCAGUGAGGCUCCUGGGAUUCAUCCUGGCAAAUCAUGUCUGUCUCUCCACUAAGAACCUCCUGCUGUCACGUCUACUCCCGCUCCAGCAGGCAAUGUCGCUGGUUUACUAACAAUCGGUCGUGGCUACCCGUCUUGAAGCACAUCUGGUAACCCUCGUUACGCACACCUGCGUCUCAUCAGUCACAACUGGACUUCAUUACUCACCGUUUAUAUUGUACUCUUCUGUUAGUAGUCGUCAGGUAGUAUUGUGUGUUUCCAUGUCAAAUGCUUCUCUUGUAUCCUUCUCUUGUAUGUUCAUUAUUAAACUCACGAACUGCACU